RNAcentral lists this long non-coding RNA (1037 nucleotides) under Homo sapiens (human). RNAcentral's name for it is "HSALNT0306499". The record is from RNAcentral. Lineage: Eukaryota; Metazoa; Chordata; Mammalia; Primates; Hominidae.
AGUUAAUCUUCAGUAACUCCUUGAUGCGUUUGAUAGUCCUCCCAACUUAAGCCUUCCUUACUGCCUCCAGGAGAUACAGUCUUCUGUUCUUUUUGUCAUAGUUGUUUAUUUUUCAUGAAUCGCUGUUUUUGAGCAUAGGGCACUUACCUCUUUCUGUGUCCCCAGCCCUACCACAGUGCCAGGCUCUCAAUAUGCUCGAUAAAUAUUAGGCGAUUGAUUUGUAAAUCGUGUAUCAUUUUCAUGUAUCUAAUACUUUUUUAAAAAUUGAUUAAAGCCCAUAAGCCCAUAUUUUAUUCCAGAUGUCCUUAGUUUUCGACCUGGUAUUCUUUUCCAUUCCAGGAUCCUGUCCGGAGUACAUCACCAUGUCUUCCAGGCUCCUCUGGACCGUGACCGUUUCUCAAACUUUCCUUGUUUUUGAUAACCUUAAUAGUUUUGAAGCGACUUAUUGGUCAUUUGGUCAAAUGUCCUUCAAUUGGGUUUUGCCUGUAUUUUUCUCAUGCAUUAACUGAGGUUAUGGGUUUUUCUUGAGUUAAGAGAAUCAGCUGCUUCCCCAAAAAGCCAAGGGUACUUUUAAUGGAAAAUGAUAUUAGAAAUCAAGAUUUGGACAUUUGGGAUGUUGUUGCUUCUAGACACUCUCAGCUGACAGAGCAAGGAAAUAUUUGUGGAUAUGCUAACCUGACUAAAUACGCAUAUCUGCUCCAUACCUACCUAACAUCUAUCUUCUCAAGAACUCUGCCAGGGAAGGAGUAGUUUCUGUGUUUCAUAAACAGACUGAGACUCAAAGAGGCUAAGUAAACUACCUGAAGCCAUAUAUAGCAACACACAAUGACGGAUGUGAGAUUCAAACUUGGAUUUAUCUGGCUCCAAAAUUUCUAGUUUUUUUUUUUUUUUUUUUCCCACUACAGCAAAACUAAGGAGAAGAGACAGAGAAAACACUAGAUCUGAAUAACAAAGGAUGCAUACUUAAGCAAACUAAGGCAUAUAUAGUUAUCACUAAAUGCUCAACCUGGAAAGAAUACUGGAUUGCAGUCUGCUUU